This 263-nucleotide unclassified non-coding RNA is filed under the name plant metagenome. RNAcentral describes it as "partial contains small subunit ribosomal RNA, internal transcribed spacer 1, and 5.8S ribosomal RNA". The record is from RNAcentral.
UUUCCGUAGGUGAACCUGCGGAAGGAUCAUUAUUGUAUAACCGAGGUGCGAGUGCUGUCGCUGACCCGAAAGGUCGUGCACGCCCGAGUGCCCUCACACACAUCCAUCUCACCCCUAUGUGCACCACCGCGUGGGUCCCCCUUUGGCUCGUUCGGAGGGGGGCUUACGUUUUCACACAAACUUUGUAUGCAGUGUAGAAUGUAUUUUUUGUUUUUGCGAUCACGCAAUCAAUACAACUUUCAACAACGGAUCUCUUGGCUCUC